AUAAAAAGAAACAUAAAAAUAGGCCAAAAUAACAAUGACUGGAGCUUGCAGUAACUUUAUUAGCUAAAAUAUAUGAGUAAUAUAUAUGAGUAUAUAAUAGUGACACUAUUCUGCCACUUGUAUUUUUCAGAAGACCCAGAAAUAUCCAAAAGGAAAACACUUCAUUCCAAUGAGACCUCGUCAAGUUUAAUAUUUCACAACCUUUCUUUUCCCCUCCACCAAUCCUGAAAAUCUUUGUCUUGUUUCUGUCUCCCUGUGUCUUUAGGGAGGCCUUUUGUGGCAUGGUUUCAAGGAGGAUGAGAGGACAGAGGAAGACAGAGAGAGAUGCACAAGUUUCAUCAGUAAUUGGAGAUGGGCUGGAACUCCAAGUACCAAGAAUGUGGGCAAGGCCUUCACUCCUCCGUGUAUCCCAUCAGCACUGACCUACAAACUGCCCGCCUUUCCCUCCCUGGACGCCUGCCAGAGUUCACCUGCUUCACUUCAUUCCCAUCCCCCCUUCCGUACUCGAGGAUCUGUGACUUAUCAGAGGGGGUUUAAGAAAGGCAGAGGAAUGCAGUGGCACCCGCUUCAUCCAAAGAAUCCACGGAAAGGCGGGAAGUUUAAAGAUCUGCAAGCAGUAGGAGUCACCGUUCCAUCAAGACCUUCGAGAUAUUUUCAGAAGGGUGGCACUUCUGCCAAGCCCUCACUGAGGCGAGCUCCACAGCAGAUUUCUACCCGACAAUCAAAGCGGCAUUACUUCAUGAAAGUGUGGACUCAGAGGUAGACCGCUAGGGUUUAGGGUGUGAUUUGGGACAGGGCCAUACACUGCUUGAGAGUGUUUAGUGUUCCAUAAUGUACACAUCGCCUCAUUUUGGAAAUGAAUAACUUGUCGGGUCAUACAUAGACUAUCUUGUCUCUUUACAUUUAAAUCUAGAUUUAUUCACACUGGCCCUUGUUACCGCCACAUGAACACAGUUGCCUGAAAAAAAGUUUGGGGGACGAAAUUACGUUUUAUUAAAAUUAAGGGGGACACAUCCCCCAAGUCCCCAACAUAUUCUACGCCCAUGGAUAGCGGCUCCCUGAGGUGCGGAAAUUAUAUGUUUAUAAUUAUAUGUUAUAUGUUAAAUGUUUGUGGGAACUGGCGGGACUGUUUCAAAAGCCAAAUGGGGCAGAAUUUGCCUGCUUUUCACUGCUGUAUUAAUAUUAAAACACAGUUUUCAUAAUGUUAAAACUCAGAUAUCUGAAUGAACACUAAGCAUUUUACCUAUUUCUAGAUUUCAAUAAUAUUUCAAUAAUACAACAACAUUAUUUUAUGUGUGAUGG
Molecule: long non-coding RNA, 1302 nt
Organism: Cyprinus carpio (common carp)
Lineage: Eukaryota; Metazoa; Chordata; Actinopteri; Cypriniformes; Cyprinidae
Source: Ensembl